RNAcentral lists this ribosomal RNA (253 nucleotides) under uncultured bacterium. RNAcentral's name for it is "partial 16S ribosomal RNA". It matches the Rfam family "Bacterial small subunit ribosomal RNA", at positions 524 to 776 of the family's 1533-position model. The record is from RNAcentral.
UACGGGGGGGGUAAGCGUUGUUCGGAAUUACUGGGCGUAAAGGGCUCGUAGGCGGUCUGUCACGUCGGGAGUGAAAACUCGGGGCUUAACUCCGAGCCUGCUUCUGAUACGGGCAGACUAGAGGUAUGCAGGGGAGAAUGGAAUUCCUGGUGUAGCGGUGAAAUGCGCAGAUAUCAGGAGGAACACCGGUGGCGAAGGCGGUUCUCUGGGCAUGACCUGACGCUGAGGAGCGAAAGUGUGGGGAGCGAACAGG